GAUGAACGCUGGCGGCGUGCUUAACACAUGCAAGUCGAACGGAAAGGCUCCUGCUUGCAGGGGUACUCGAGUGGCGAACGGGUGAGUAACACGUGGGUGAUCUGCCCUGCACUUCGGGAUAAGCCUGGGAAACUGGGUCUAAUACCGGAUAGGACGAUGGUUUGGAUGCCAUUGUGGAAAGUUUUUCGGUGUGGGAUGAGCUCGCGGCCUAUCAGCUUGUUGGUGGGGCAAUGGCCUACCAAGGCGUCGACGGGUAGCCGGCCUGAGAGGGUGUACGGCCACAUUGGGACUGAGAUACGGCCCAGACUCCUACGGGAGGCAGCAGUGGGGAAUAUUGCACAAUGGGCGCAAGCCUGAUGCAGCGACGCCGCGUGGGGGAUGACGGCCUUCGGGUUGUAAACUCCUUUCGCUAGGGACGAAGCGCAAGUGACGGUACCUGGAGAAGAAGCACCGGCUAACUACGUG
RNAcentral lists this ribosomal RNA (465 nucleotides) under uncultured bacterium. RNAcentral describes it as "partial 16S ribosomal RNA". It matches the Rfam family "Bacterial small subunit ribosomal RNA", at positions 28 to 507 of the family's 1533-position model. The record is from RNAcentral.